Molecule: transfer RNA, 76 nt
Filed under: Minisyncoccota bacterium
Lineage: Bacteria; Bacillati; Minisyncoccota
Description: tRNA-Thr
Rfam family: tRNA
About the family: Transfer RNA (tRNA) molecules are approximately 80 nucleotides in length. Their secondary structure includes four short double-helical elements and three loops (D, anti-codon, and T loops).
Source: RNAcentral
GCCGAUGUAGCUCAGUUGGUAGAGCACCACCAUGGUAAGGUGGGGGUCAUCGGUUCAAUUCCGAUCAUCGGCUCCA